Harpia harpyja (harpy eagle) is the source of this 1257-nucleotide long non-coding RNA. RefSeq lists it as uncharacterized. The transcript has 2 exons. NCBI's taxonomy places the organism in Eukaryota, Metazoa, Chordata, Aves, Accipitriformes, Accipitridae. The record is from RefSeq and is a predicted model, not a curated record.
GUAAGGGCUAAGGCAAACUGAGGCCACCUCCUUUGUCUGUGUUUCUGUACGGUGGGGACAAUCCUCCUUUUGUCCCCUCACCUUGUCAUAGAGGUGGCAGAAGAGGUUUGUGGGGCUCCAACUGUUGCUAUGAUUAAAAGUGAAAGACAUCUGCAUAGCUUGUAACUCCUGCAGGUGAUAUUUCUCCAGCUCCUAUCUUCAGGAUAUAUGUCUAAAAUACCCCUAUUGAUGCUACUUCUCUUAGAGCAGCCCCUCACUUCCAAGUUACAGUGGGAGCUCCAGGCAAAAUGAAUUGUCCCUGUUGUAUCAUCGAGGGAACUGAAAAAAGCAAGUCUGAGAACAGCGAUGAAAGUAAUAGAAAAUAGGAGGCAAAUGUAAGGGCAGGGCUGUUUGCGUAAACACUGUGAUAAGUUUUAGGUAAGUCCAUAGGUCAAGGUCCAUGAGGUUUAGAAAUCCACCGAUGCCUGUAAGUGCAACCUGGGGCUUGGGGAAGCUGCUAAACAACUGGUAGCUGGGUGGGUAUAUGAAAUAAAACCCAAGCACCGAUCCUGUUUUCACACACUUCAGCUAGCAGUAGUUUUUCACAGGCUUCUUGUUGUUGUUUCUUAGUAAUUAGCAGAAAAGCUCCAAUUGCGGCACAAAUAGUUCCUGUGGUGUAAAACACUAAUUAAGGCAGAGAAGAGUGGAGCUCGGUGGCUUGGGCAGACUCUGCCUUCCCUGGGCUGCGAGGUGGCCGGGCAGGGGAUGGACCCCUGCGAUGUCCCGAGUUUGCAUCGUGGCUUUGCAUUGCCCACAGGUUGUCCUGCACGAUGGGCAGCUGCGGCAUAAAGAGAAAAAUGAAGAAAAAUUUGUGUUUAUCCCUCCUGAUGGAAGAUAACAUCAGGUCAGGUGACAGUACAGUCCCCACGGGCCAUUCAGGCUUCUGGGAAGAGCUUUGUGCCAUGCCAUUUCCCUGCUUCAAGAGGAGACGUACAAUGAGUGCCAGCCAGCACAUCUGAUGGAAUCUGCUCCUGUCAGGAGCCUCUGGAGUUUAUGAUGACAUUAAGAUUUUUGGCUGACAAAGGCAACAAUGCUGAGGCAACCGAUUUGAUUUGUACAACCGCUACCUUGGUGAUGUGUAAUAUUUUGGUUAUGCACUGAGAGUGAUAUAACAUUAACACGGUGCAGAACAUAUGGAUUGAAAACUGCCUGGCUGAAUCACUCAAAAUGUAGGUAAAAAACAAAGACUUCAAAAUAAAGACUACUCCUAAUCAGAAA